CCCUUAAAUUACAAUGGCAAGGUCGGAACGAACUCUGGUAUUGAUUGGUGCUUGCAUCAUGAUUUACAUUUGAGUGAGUGGCGAACUGGUGAGUAACACGUGGGAAACCUGCCCAGAAGCGGGGGAUAACACCUGGAAACAGAUGCUAAUACCGCAUAACAACUUGGACCGCAUGGUCCGAGUUUGAAAGAUGGCUUCGGCUAUCACUUUUGGAUGGUCCCGCGGCGUAUUAGCUAGAUGGUGGGGUAACGGCUCACCAUGGCAAUGAUACGUAGCCGACCUGAGAGGGUAAUCGGCCACAUUGGGACUGAGACACGGCCCAAACUCCUACGGGAGGCAGCAGUAGGGAAUCUUCCACAAUGGACGAAAGUCUGAUGGAGCAACGCCGCGUGAGUGAAGAAGGGUUUCGGCUCGUAAAACUCUGUUGUUAAAGAAGAACAUAUCUGAGAGUAACUGUUCAGGUAUUGACGGUAUUUAACCAGAAAGCCACGGCUAACUACGUGCCAGCAGCCGCGGUAAUACGUAGGUGGCAAGCGUUGUCCGGAUUUAUUGGGCGUAAAGCGAGCGCAGGCGGUUUUUUAAGUCUGAUGUGAAAGCCUUCGGCUCAACCGAAGAAGUGCAUCGGAAACUGGGAAACUUGAGUGCAGAAGAGGACAGUGGAACUCCAUGUGUAGCGGUGAAAUGCGUAGAUAUAUGGAAGAACACCAGUGGCGAAGGCGGCUGUCUGGUCUGUAACUGACGCUGAGGCUCGAAAGUAUGGGUAGCAAACAGGAUUAGAUACCCUGGUAGUCCAUACCGUAAACGAUGAAUGCUAAGUGUUGGAGGGUUUCCGCCCUUCAGUGCUGCAGCUAACGCAUUAAGCAUUCCGCCUGGGGAGUACGGCCGCAAGGCUGAAACUCAAAGGAAUUGACGGGGGCCCGCACAAGCGGUGGAGCAUGUGGUUUAAUUCGAAGCUACGCGAAGAACCUUACCAGGUCUUGACAUACUAUGCAAAUCUAAGAGAUUAGACGUUCCCUUCGGGGACAUGGAUACAGGUGGUGCAUGGUUGUCGUCAGCUCGUGUCGUGAGAUGUUGGGUUAAGUCCCGCAACGAGCGCAACCCUUAUUAUCAGUUGCCAGCAUUAAGUUGGGCACUCUGGUGAGACUGCCGGUGACAAACCGGAGGAAGGUGGGGAUGACGUCAAAUCAUCAUGCCCCUUAUGACCUGGGCUACACACGUGCUACAAUGGAUGGUACAACGAGUUGCGAACUCGCGAGAGUAAGCUAAUCUCUUAAAGCCAUUCUCAGUUCGGAUUGUAGGCUGCAACUCGCCUACAUGAAGUCGGAAUCGCUAGUAAUCGCGGAUCAGCAUGCCGCGGUGAAUACGUUCCCGGGCCUUGUACACACCGCCCGUCACACCAUGAGAGUUUGUAACACCCAAAGUCGGUGGGGUAACCUUUUAGGAACCAGCCGCCUAAGGGAACCAGAUUC
RNAcentral lists this ribosomal RNA (1469 nucleotides) under Lactiplantibacillus plantarum. RNAcentral's name for it is "bacterial SSU rRNA". It matches the Rfam family "Bacterial small subunit ribosomal RNA". Lineage: Bacteria; Bacillati; Bacillota; Bacilli; Lactobacillales; Lactobacillaceae. The record is from RNAcentral.